RNAcentral lists this ribosomal RNA (501 nucleotides) under uncultured bacterium. RNAcentral describes it as "partial 16S ribosomal RNA". It matches the Rfam family "Bacterial small subunit ribosomal RNA", at positions 30 to 523 of the family's 1533-position model. The record is from RNAcentral.
AUUGAACGCUGGCGGCAGGCUUAACACAUGCAAGUCGAGCGGGGAGAUGGUGCUUGCACUAUCACUUAGCGGCGGACGGGUGAGUAAUGCUUAGGAAUCUGCCUAUUAGUGGGGGACAACGUCUCGAAAGGGAUGCUAAUACCGCAUACGUCCUACGGGAGGAAGCAGGGGAUCUUCGGACCUUGCGCUAAUAGAUGAGCCUAAGUCGGAUUAGCUAGUUGGUGGGGUAAAGGCCUACCAAGGCGACGAUCUGUAGCAGGUCUGAGAGGAUGAUCCGCCACACUGGGACUGAGACACGGCCCAGACUCCUACGGGAGGCAGCAGUGGGGAAUAUUGGACAAUGGGGGGAACCCUGAUCCAGCCAUGCCGCGUGUGUGAAGAAGGCCUUAUGGUUGUAAAGCACUUUAAGCGAGGAGGAGGCUACUUUAGUUAAUACCUAGAGAUAGUGGACGUUACUCGCAGAAUAAGCACCGGCUAACUCUGUGCCAGCCGCCGCGGUAA